AAGCGAACACUCUCGGGCUCCAGGUUAUCAAACCUUACUUUUUUCAGAGCAACAAUUUUCUUUUGAUCAAGAUCACGAGCCCUAUAAACAUUACUGUAAGUUCCCUGGCCAAUCUGCAUUGCAAUAUGUUGUCAUCAAACUAUAAAUCAAAACCAGCCUCCAAGUGAAGUCAACCAAAGUGGGCAUUGGAGAAGGACAAAAAAUUGAAGAUAAAUCAUGGUAACUACUCACUAAAUAGAAUGAUCUGGAAAAAAUAGAAAGGGACUCCCCAAAAACAAAAACAAAAACAAAAACAAAAAAUGUAAAUAUUAGCAAAAUAGUAGUCAAAAAAGGGGAAGGAGAAAAGUAGUGAUGGGCACAAAAUUAGCUAAAAUUCCAAAAGUGCAGUAUCAGCUUAAUUUUAAAGAGAAGUAGCAUGCAUAAUCCAAGACCUAGUAAGCAGUCAAAUAUUACACAAGCAAACAUGCAUGUAUGCUUAAAACUGUUGAUACGCAUCAUAAUCCACAAAUUUCAAUCAUCUAAAAUCAUGCGCAUUAGUGUGCAAUAUCUUCAAGUUUCUUCAUACCUAGUGAGUUACACUCAAAUUACCCACCAAAGUUCAGUUCUCCCUAACAUUAACUGGUUUUCUAUAAGAACUAACUAUUACUCUGAACAUUAUUUGAACUCUGCAGAAGUAGAAUGGAUAGUUCUAUAAGAAUCUGAAUUCAUGGUGAUGCUUCUUGGAUGUUUCCCAGGCUAUACUUCACAUUCUUGAACAAAAUCCAAAAGUUAAAAUCAUAAUUUCAUCUAAGGAUAGAUUUGUAUUAUACACAUGUACCAUAAAUAACUCCAUAGAUAUAUGACCAGAAAUAAUUUUUUUUUAAGGAAACCUUGAGAGCUUAUGACACAAAGUUAGAGCUGUUUGGUAAAUGUUCCCUCUCUAGAUAACUUAUUAUCAUUCUUUAUCCAGAUACAAAACUGAUAAUAAAACUAUCAAGCAAUUACUAAUUCAUCACAACAGAAAAUUCAAAAAGGACAAUAUCGAUGUGCAAAUAAACACUAUAUGACAAUAUUUAUGCACCACAAUAAUCAGUGAAGGAACAUACUUUAUCCAGCUUCUCAAAGGAAUCCGCACGCCGUGGCACCCAUCCCCGGAUAGCUUCUCCAGCCACUGCAGCUAACCAGGCUGGCCACCCAGCAGCAACCUGCUCCCCUUCCGAAGCUUUUGGAAUACUACCCAUCCCUGGAUGAUGUU
RNAcentral lists this long non-coding RNA (1234 nucleotides) under Citrus x clementina. Its description in RNAcentral is "Citrus clementina (C. clementina) long non-coding RNA (CCLE_LNC006695)". The record is from RNAcentral. Lineage: Eukaryota; Viridiplantae; Streptophyta; Magnoliopsida; Sapindales; Rutaceae.